CACUCGAUUGCAGAGCUGAAAGGAAAGGAGCCAAAGUCAAGCAAGAAGUAAUAAAUGAUGGACCUGGGGAGGAGCACGUCUCUACGGAUUCUAUUGUCUUUGUCAACAGAGCAGAAAAGAGCCUGCAGUCAUCCCCAAAUCCUCCCACUCUAAAGGGAGUGUCAAGCAUCAUUGUGUUAACUUUCUGAAGCCACAGCCUCCUGGGUAGCUGCUAUCCUCAUUACACAAAAGAAGGGCCUGCUUCCUGAACCAGCUCAGUUUCAGUGCUGAAGAAUUAGGAAAGGAGCCAAAUGCUGAUGACUCAUACC
Dipodomys ordii (Ord's kangaroo rat) is the source of this 308-nucleotide long non-coding RNA. RefSeq lists it as uncharacterized. NCBI's taxonomy places the organism in Eukaryota, Metazoa, Chordata, Mammalia, Rodentia, Heteromyidae. The record is from RefSeq and is a predicted model, not a curated record. The transcript has 3 exons.